GAUAAACAGCCCAGUAAAGAGGUGCACAGGGCAAGGUAUGGGGAUGGGGUGUGGAGCUUUGAUGCCCUCUCUGGGCACACCACCCUCUAGACACUCCCACGUGUUCAUCAACCCAGGAAGUUCUAAGCCCUGUCGUUCAGGGGUUUUUAUGGAGGUUUCAUUAUGCAGGCAUAAAUAAUUAUUAACACAAUCUCUAGCCCCUCUCCCCUUCCUGGAGGAUGGGGGUGGGGCUGAAAGUUCCAGGCUUCUAAUCCCAGCUCUGUUUCCAUCCAGGAGCCUCCAAGAGUUACCUCAUUAGAAUGAAAGAUGCUCUAGUCCCCCAGGAAAUUCUAAAGGAUUUAGGAACUCUGUAUCAGAAACCCGGGUCAAAGAUCAAGUAUUAGAACAAAGAUUUUCCCAACAUCUCUACUACUCAGGAAAUUGCAAGGGUUUGGGGAGCUCUGUGCCAGGAACCAGCUCUGUGUGUGUGUGUGUGUGUGUGUGUGUGUAUAUAUAUUUAUGAUGUCACAAGGGAAACUACAGGCAUUCUCCAUUUCUCCCCUAGAGUCUUGAAAUCCCAACCCUGAUCUACAUCAGGGCUUGAAGGUUUAGACAAAACCUCCUUUGGGGCACAACUGUGCUUAUUCUGCUGGGACAGGGUUGAUAACUGUGGACUUCAGAUCAGCAGCACAACCUCCUGUUUCAUCCCCUCUUCUCAGGGCACUCCUGUUCAGUCCCAGGACGCCUAGUUCGCAUCCCUGGAUUUCUCAGCCCUUGGCUCUGCCAUCCAUCAAAGCUCCAUGGUGGUCUCCUUUCCCUCUGCCUUCAAUGGAAAACCAGGUGAAGAUCGUUUCUUCCAACGAGUGCCCCUCAAAUGUGAGCAUUGCCUGCUAAGAAUGGAUUGCGAGGCCACUUAAAAGAAGUUUGCG
RNAcentral lists this long non-coding RNA (908 nucleotides) under Macaca mulatta (Rhesus monkey). RNAcentral's name for it is "lncRNA (ENSMMUG00000054087.1)". Lineage: Eukaryota; Metazoa; Chordata; Mammalia; Primates; Cercopithecidae. The record is from RNAcentral.